AAAAAUAAUUGAGGAAUAACGUUAAAUGACCCAGAUAUCCAUAAACAUUUGAAAAUGUCCGUUCAUGGAACGACGUGGGAGAUGUUUAUUUUAACACAGUACAGAUGCAUGCGCUCAUAUAUACGCGCAUACACUCAUUUCUAUGAACACAUACGCAUACCCUACCUCUAUGAGUAUCUUCGAGAGACUGAGCUGGCAUAUCAUCUUGAGAUUGACGAAGUCACCAAAGGGGCCUCGUAGUCGAUAGAACGUCUCCUUUCACUAAACGCACAUCGCCGGAAAUGCGAGCAUCAGGACUUAAAUCCUGAUGGGCUUAGAAUACCACUGUCCAACCAUCUAACUACAUGUUGGUUCGCAGCUGGGAGAUGCUCUAGAGGCCGUCUUCACUCGUUCAGCAGCAAGCAGAAUCAUGAGUCAUGAAAAGAUCCGAUCGGAUCGGAGCCGUCCAUUGCCAUCCCCACACAGUCCGUUCAUACCCAUUUCCAUUCCCGUCCGGCCACAGGCUCUGUUCUCCCGUGAUUCCGUCUUCCACCUAUAAAAAUGAGGAGUAUGCACGGAGACGACCACCUCGACUCACCGCCGGCCACGCGCGCUCACCUCCUCCGCACGAGCCGCCCGCCGUCCUCCGCCGUCAGCUUCAACCCCAACAGUGCUCUUACAUCUCUUGUAGCUAGCUGGAAAAGCGAGCUUGCAUGAUGGAGGACUCUUCAACUAGGAGCCAUGUUUCUGAGGGGAAUCGGCUGGGCUAUGUAAGAAGUGAAUCCAUGGAUUCCGCUGGCCAUCCUUCGGCUGCUAGGUCAGGCUCACUGCUAAGCAGGAGAAGUAGCAGGCCCAGUUCAAGGGGAUCCAUCAGCCUCUCUCGUGAGAUGGGCGACUCGAUCCUGAACUCAAUGAGGCAUUCCCUUCAGUCAGCAGACCAGUUGCUAGGUGAUGCUGAUAGCUCGGCUUUGGCUCAGGUCAUUGACAGUGGUGACCGAGUGCUAGCCUUGGAAGAUGAGGCCGAUGAAGAUAUGGCAAAUACAUUGGAUCAACAUAAGUUCGGUCCUGUCCGAGAUAAUCGAAUCCAUGGCUACAGCUCACAUGUCACAGGUCUGCCAGCACCUGAGUCUUCUCUGGAGCCAAAGGGCGAGAGCUCAUCAGGCAAGGUUGAACAAUAUGUGCUUUCUCGGAGGCUAGAUUAUGCUUCUUACCUGAUCCAUUUAGCUGCCUUUGGAUUAUUUGGGGUAUUUACAAGGUAUGGGCUCCAAAAGCUGUUCGGCCCAGGCUGCCUGGCACUCACCUCCAACCAAAGCCCGUUGUACCUUGAUCUUCCAUCAAACAUGCUAGGAUCCUUCCUGAUGGCCUGGUUUGGGAUCAUCUUUAAGACAGACAUUCGGCACAUAUCUGAACAUCUCAUUGUUGGAAUCACAACCGGAUACAUGGGAAGCCUUACCACCUUCAGUGGGUGGAAUCAAGCGAUGGUUAGCAUGUCUUCCAAAGACCAUUGGGCAUAUGCCAUAGCUGGCAUAGUAUUAGGUACCUCAUCAUAAUUUUCUAUAAAGUGCUAUUAGUCCAGAAUUAGUUACGCUAAAUAUAGACACAAGGGAAAUCAUUCUUUUGAUGAUUAACAACACUAACCUAAUCAGGAAUGUUCAUCGUCAAUGAGUCCAUCAGGGUGGGCGCCGAAACAGGUGAGCGCCUACGAAGCUGGAUCCUGAAAUGCAUCAAGGAAAAUAGUUCAAUAGGAAGCACAUGUAACUGGGAGCACCUGAAAGUCAACACUAGGACUAAACAUUUUGUGCUUAUAGCAGUUAUGAUGAUUUUGCUUUCUUUUGUGUGGGUUCUGAGCAUCGUGUUGGCCAUAAUAAAGGUGCGCAAUCUUGAUGAUGGCGCUGUACUAUGGUUGGGGUGCUCGGUUGCGCCUCCGGGCGUUUGGUUACGCUGGUACUUGGCAAGGCUCAAUGGCCAGGGAAUCGGCAAACAGAGAUCCCUCAAAUGGCUGCCCAUUGGGACACUUGUAGCCAAUGUUCUUGCUGCAGGUAUCAUGGCAUCACUGGCUGUGACCGCCAAAGCGGUGAAUACAAAGCAUUCGACAACUGUUCUUAAUGGCAUACAGUUUGGUUUCCUCGGCUGCUUGAGCACAGUGUCUACUUUUGCUGCUGAAAUCUACGCUAUGCGAAGCAGCGGACAGGUUGGUAGAGCCUUUGUCUAUGCUGCAGCGACCUUCGUGCUCUCUUUCGUGCUGGGAACUCUGGUAUACUCUGUGCCAGUAUGGGUCAAGCAUUACCAAUAGCUUCAUGAAGUAUUGCAGACUUGAAGGCUUUGGCGUCAUUUUGCUGGUUGCAACAUCCAAGCAGAUAGCGCAAUUCUCAGCAUACAUAGUUAGACUUUUCUAGGGAAUUUUAUCUGCUUCUUUAAGAUAUUUGAUGUAUGUUGUUGAACAUGAUGGCGUUCUGCAGCAGAAACAUGUUUGUACACAACAUCUGCCAUUGUAAUCCUGUGAACAACAACAUCCAUAUUUAUGGAGUAUGUAUAUGAAAUGUUACAGUUUAU
RNAcentral lists this ribosomal RNA (2532 nucleotides) under Triticum aestivum (bread wheat). RNAcentral's name for it is "partial small subunit ribosomal RNA". Lineage: Eukaryota; Viridiplantae; Streptophyta; Magnoliopsida; Poales; Poaceae. The record is from RNAcentral.